GAUAGUCCCUGCUACUUGGAUACCCGUAGUAAUUCUAGAGCUAAUACAUGCGUAAAAGCGCAGGCUUUUGUCUGUGCUGUAUUUAUUAGAUUUGAACCAACCUCUUCGGAGUUUUUUGGUGAAUCAUGAUAACUUUGCGAAUCGUAUGCUUCGGCGACGAUGAAUCAUUCAAGUUUCUGCCCUAUCAAGUGGCGAUGGUAGGGUAUUGGCCUACCAUGCUUUUGACGGGUAACGGAGAAUUAGGGUUCGAUUCCGGAGAGGGAGCCUGAGAGACGGCUACCACAUCUAAGGAAGGCAGCAGGCGCGUAAAUUACCCAAUCCUGACACGGGGAGGUAGUGACAAUAAAUAACAAUACGGGGCCUUUUGGCACUGUAAUUGGAAUGAGAACAAUUUAAAUCCCUUUACGAGGAUCAAUUGGAGGGCAAGUCUGGUGCCAGCAGCCGAGGUAAUUCCAGCUCCAAUAGCGUAUAUUAAAGUUGUUGCAGUUAAAAAGCUCGUAGUUGGAUUUCUUGUGCAUGAAGCGGGUCGGCUCAAAGAGUCUGUACUAGCUUUCAUGCACAAUCCUCGUAACAAGCUGUCGGUGAGUUAACUCCAUUCGGCAGUGAGUUGCGUCAUUUACUGUGAACAAAUUAGAGUGUUUAAAGCAGGCAAAUGCUGUGAAUACAUUAGCAUGGAAUAAUAAGAUAGGACCUAGAGUCUAUUUUGUUGGUUGCGAUUUUAGGUAAUGAUUAAUAGGGAUAGUUGGGGGUAUUCAUAUUCAAUUGUCAGAGGUGAAAUUCUUGGAUUUAUGGAAGAUGAACAACUGCGAAAGCAUUUACCAAGGAUGUUUUCAUUAAUCAAGAACGAAAGUUAGGGGAUCGAAGAUGAUUAGAUACCAUCGUAGUCUUAACCAUAAACUAUGCCGACUAGGGAUUGGACCACGCUAUUUAAUGGCACGUUCAGCACCUUAUGAGAAAUCAAAGUCUUUGGGUU
Molecule: ribosomal RNA, 973 nt
Filed under: uncultured eukaryote
Lineage: Eukaryota
Description: SSU rRNA
Rfam family: Eukaryotic small subunit ribosomal RNA
Source: RNAcentral